UCUUUUUUCUCUUGGUAUGACAUUACUUGACUGGGUCAUGAGACAUACAAAGUUUUAAUUCUCGAAUGGAAUUAGUUGAUUUUCUCCCAAUUUUCGUCUCAUAUAUUACAUACAUGCACGAAAAAGCCUUGUCCCAUACAAUGAACAGCAGAAAAGGAAUCUUCAAUUACUUGAAGUCGAAGAGGAAAACUUCAAAGAAAUUACAACCACGCAAACAAUAG
Molecule: long non-coding RNA, 221 nt
Filed under: Ricinus communis (castor bean)
Lineage: Eukaryota; Viridiplantae; Streptophyta; Magnoliopsida; Malpighiales; Euphorbiaceae
Description: long non-coding RNA (RCOM_LNC001775)
Source: RNAcentral